RNAcentral lists this ribosomal RNA (254 nucleotides) under uncultured bacterium. RNAcentral describes it as "partial 16S ribosomal RNA". It matches the Rfam family "Bacterial small subunit ribosomal RNA", at positions 524 to 776 of the family's 1533-position model. The record is from RNAcentral.
UACGUAGGGUGCAAGCGUUGUCCGGAAUUAUUGGGCGUAAAGAGCUCGUAGGCGGUUUGUCGCGUCUGCUGUGAAAACCCGAGGCUCAACCUCGGGCCUGCAGUGGGUACGGGCAAACUAGAGUGCGGUAGGGGGAGAAUGGAAUUCCUGGUGUAGCGGUGGAAUGCGCAGAUAUCAGGAGGAACACCGAUGGCAAAGGCAGUUCUCUGGGCCGUAACUGACGCUGAGGAGCGAAAGCGUGGGGAGCGAACAGG